This 168-nucleotide ribosomal RNA is filed under the name uncultured bacterium. RNAcentral describes it as "partial 16S ribosomal RNA". The record is from RNAcentral.
UGCCUGGUGAUAUAGCCUGGAGGAAAGGUGAGGAAUUGAACGUCAAAGUCAUCUAUGCUCCUCUUAAUGCCCUGGGCGAACUAACAACGUGCUAUCAAUGGCACGGGACAAAGGGUCGCGAGAUCCUCGCGAAGGGUGAGCUAACCCCAAAAACCCGUCCUCAGUUCG